UACGUAGGGGGCAAGCGUUAUCCGGAUUUACUGGGUGUAAAGGGAGCGUAGACGGUUGUUCAAGUCUGAUGUGAAAGCCCUCGGCUUAACUGGGGGAGUGCAUUGGAAACUGAAGGACUAGAGUAUCGGAGAGGCAAGUGGAAUUCCUAGUGUAGCGGUGAAAUGCGUAGAUAUUAGGAGGAACACCAGUGGGGAAGGCGGCUUGCUGGACGAAAACUGACGUUGAGGCUCGAAAGCGUGGGGAGCAAACAGG
RNAcentral lists this ribosomal RNA (253 nucleotides) under uncultured bacterium. RNAcentral's name for it is "partial 16S ribosomal RNA". It matches the Rfam family "Bacterial small subunit ribosomal RNA", at positions 524 to 776 of the family's 1533-position model. The record is from RNAcentral.